AUUGAACGCUGGCGGCAGGCCUAACACAUGCAAGUCGAGCGAACCUAGCUUGCUAGGUGAGCGGCGAACGGGUGAGUAACACGUAGGAAUCUGCCCGAUAGUGGGGGACAACGUCUCGAAAGGGACGCUAAUACCGCAUACGCCCUACGGGGGAAAGCAGGGGACCUUCGGACCUUGCGCUAUCGGAUGAGCCUGCGUCGGAUUAGCUAGUUGGUGGGGUAAAGGCCUACCAAGGCGACGAUCCGUAGCUGGUCUGAGAGGAUGAUCAGCCACACCGGAACUGAGACACGGUCCGGACUCCUACGGGGGCAGCAGUGGGGAAUAUUGGACAAGGGGGGCAACCCUGAUCCAGCCAUGCCGCGUGUGUGAAGAAGGCCUCCGGGUUGUAAAGCACUUUAAGCUGGGAGGAAGGUUCGCUGGCUAAUAUCCAGCGGAAUUGACGUUACCAGCAGAAUAAGCACCGGCUAACUCCGUGCCAGCCGCCGCAGUAA
This 491-nucleotide ribosomal RNA is filed under the name uncultured bacterium. Its description in RNAcentral is "partial 16S ribosomal RNA". It matches the Rfam family "Bacterial small subunit ribosomal RNA", at positions 29 to 523 of the family's 1533-position model. The record is from RNAcentral.